CUCAUUACACUUGAUGAGGGAUCUUGCUUUCCUUCUUUGUGCUCAGCAAUAUUGUCGUUAAUCUAUUCGUAGCUUUGACACAUACAGCUGCUUGUAUCACUUCCAAAUUAAUAGAGAAACAGGUUUUGAAAUACCCUGACUAGAGAAAACUGUUGGGAAGUCACAAGGGACUUUGACAUUGAAACCAGCACCUUUAUGAUUCUGUGAUUCUAUAAUAUUAUUUCUAUAUUCAUAAAAGCAGCUUCUAAUAAAAGUUAUGUCUGCAGCAAGGACAGGCAGUGUUCUCUUACGGCUGUCUCCUGUGUUUUUAAAAACAAUCCAAAAUACCUUCUUAUGAAGUGGUCCCAAGGAAGCUCAAAACCAGCAUGGAUUAAAUGAAACUGUGAUUUCAUACUGCACACAUCUGACAGAGAGAAUCUGCUGUGGUAGAUUCACAUCUGCUGCCAGCUGAGCUCUUUUAUCGGGUGUUAAAAUAACAUUAGAAGCUGGAGCAGCAAUGGGAAAACAACUUGUCAAGAAAGAAGCAGGCGUAGAUUAAUAUAACUCAUUAAAACUGGAAAACAAAGUAAGCAUUGUUGCAAAAGCAAUGGGAAACAUUGUCUGCUGGGUAACUGCUGGAUGACAGUAAAAUGUCAGAAAAAGUGCUUUGCAUGAGACUGCCAGGAAAGUUGUGAUAUGAUUUCUCUGACACUGUUUAUCUGAAAAUAGAAAACAAAAACAUCAAAAGCUGUAAAACAAUGGGUAAGAAAGCCCCUGUCAUUAACAUCUAAGGGCAGUUCUCUGGAGAAGAACAUUUAUGCAAUGCCUUUGUGAGAGUGUAUUUGAAUGCUCAGACACUGCCACUCUGGCAGUUAGCAGUUUUGUUUAUAAUAAAUAAUAAAAAAAAAAAAAAAAAAAUCUCAGUGCUUUUGAAAUUGAGCCAAUACUCAAAAUACUCAAAAUCACUUGUCCCAUACUGCCUGAUUUACUUGAACAUCUGUUGACAGGCAAAAGCAUUUUUUUGAAAUAGAGAACAAGGGUUUAGUCCAUUAUGUUUACAUAAAAAAGAGCCAGCACAAAAUCUGCAACCUUUUCAGUAUUUUUCAUGUACAAUUUCUUGCUCUAAGCAUAUAAAUACAGACAUUCAGCAGGUCCAUUCAGUUCUGGAGUUCUAAAUCCAUUGCUGUUAUUUUGAUU
This 1176-nucleotide long non-coding RNA is filed under the name Anas platyrhynchos platyrhynchos (common mallard). RNAcentral's name for it is "lncRNA (ENSAPLG00000021909.1)". Lineage: Eukaryota; Metazoa; Chordata; Aves; Anseriformes; Anatidae. The record is from RNAcentral.